CGUUUCGUAUUAGUACAAGGAUAAAUUCUGAAAACAGGUUACAGAUGAAGAUACGAUGAGAGCAAUGAUCGACCCUUGGACAAUUUAUGAUGAUAUUACGGUUAUCUAACUCAGUUCUGGCAUAUGCAUGAUGAAGCACAGGUGUGGAACAGUAGACGUGACGUAUGACAAGUCUCUAAUUGCUUCGAAUCUGCGAUAUUGUAACGACAAAUUCGAAGAGAGAAGAGCAAAAAUUCUAUCCACGAUAUUUGAUUUAAAUCGGCGUAUUUUAAAAACAUUACGAUAAUAAGAGGAGUUGCUGCAAUUGUGAAAGAAAAGAGAAAUCUGUACUCGUAGAUUUUUAUUUAAAGUUUAUCAGGCUAGUGCAUCAAAGUGUGAGCAAACGUAUAAAUUAAGUACCAAGAGAGGUUUAUAAUCGAGCUUGGUUUAUUGAGGUAUGGUAAAUCUCCGGAUGACAUAGUGGAUGAAUAUCCGCCUUCUUUAAGCAAAAGUGUGAUAAAUCAAAGUCUGUUGGGCAACGGUGCGUAUUGGUUUAACGUGGUGUAAAUGAUGGAAACUGUAGGCGAAAGAGAGUAACUCUGAUCGUUCAACGUUGAAAGAACGUAUGUAUGCGUAUACUUUGUUGAAAAUGAAUUAUCAAUGUUGCAGAAGGUCGUUUGCCUAACAUAGUGUUACAACUAAUGCAAUUUUAUUCUACUGUUUCUAUUUAAAGCACGGGAAACUAACGAGCGUAGUUUCAGAAUGCAUUUAUUCUUUAUGUAUAUCGAUUAUCGAACCCGCCUUUUUUGAAACGACGCCAUCGUCAUUCGGACAGCCAACAUAUCGUGGCACGUCUCUUAUCCCUCGUUCCACAGGUGUGGAAUUCUUUGCCAUUAAUUUGAUGAAGAUGUAAAAUUUCUCAGUGGUCGUUUCCAACGGAGUGUAUUGUCGUUUCUGUCACGAGCUCGCCCGAAUCUAAAUUACGUAUAGCUGAUUUAAUUAUUGGGAAGGCACGACGAAAGUUGUUUGAGCCAACUACAAAGAGAAUAACUUGGCUGUAUUGGGUUUACUUCUUUUUACCGUGACUUUGAUCAAAGUUAAACUUCAUAAACGUAAAUCAGUUACAAGGCUCUGUUUCUCCAGUAAAUUUCGAAUCAUUAAACUCACUUUAGGUGACCGAUAAAAUAUGGCUAUCCGAUUGAACAGCAGUUUCGUUUUAUUAAGUUUUCCACGUUUCACAGCAGACCGAACUUUCCAAUAUUACAUGAAAAUAAUAUAAAAAUGAAAUGGGUCGUCCUUUCAAAUUUCAACGUUGUGUCGAGAAAAUACGGGGCAGGAGGAUAAUAUUCGAUAACAUUUUUCAAACAUUCCAUACACUUACUGUAGGGGAUCAUUUCGGUGGAGUUUUCUGACUGUGGCAUGGUCCCUUCCACACAACCUCUCCAGAGACCCAUAUGCUUGUAGAUUAAUCGUCUACCUUUGCUUGGAUCCCCAAGGGGUAAACCUCCUUCAUCCGGUGCUUCGACUAUGAACCAGUGAUCGGUUCCAAUGGCAAUCGACCAUAUGCACACUGACAGGCCAACGAGAACAGUACAACCAAGAAGAAUUCGCCUCUCGAAGAUUACCUGUACAACAAAACGUACACGAAAUAUCUAGAAAUUUCAUCUCGGUCCCGUUUC
This is a long non-coding RNA of Bombus impatiens (common eastern bumble bee), 1658 nucleotides long. RefSeq lists it as uncharacterized. NCBI's taxonomy places the organism in Eukaryota, Metazoa, Arthropoda, Insecta, Hymenoptera, Apidae. The transcript is spliced from 2 exons. The record is from RefSeq and is a predicted model, not a curated record.